UCUCCUACGGGAGGCAGCAGUCGGGAAUAUUGCGCAAUGGAGGAAACUCUGACGCAGUGACGCCGCGUAUAGGAAGAAGGUCUUCGGAUUGUAAACUAUUGUCGUUAGGGAAGAUAAAAGACUGUACCUAAGGAGGAAGCCCCGGCUAACUAUGUGCCAGCAGCCGCGGUAAUACAUAGGGGGCACGCGUUAUCCGGAAUUAUUGGGUGUAAAGGGUGCGUAGACGGAAGAACAAGUUGGUUGAGAAAUCUCUCGGCUCAACUGAGGAACUGCAACCAAAACUAUUCUCCUUGUGU
RNAcentral lists this ribosomal RNA (296 nucleotides) under uncultured bacterium. RNAcentral describes it as "partial 16S ribosomal RNA". It matches the Rfam family "Bacterial small subunit ribosomal RNA", at positions 335 to 647 of the family's 1533-position model. The record is from RNAcentral.